RNAcentral lists this long non-coding RNA (201 nucleotides) under Ananas comosus (pineapple). RNAcentral's name for it is "long non-coding RNA (ACOM_LNC036048)". Lineage: Eukaryota; Viridiplantae; Streptophyta; Magnoliopsida; Poales; Bromeliaceae. The record is from RNAcentral.
UGAGCCGUUGUCGAUGAUGGAGUUUUCUAAUCGACGAUCGGCUCCGUUAAACUUGAUCUAAGGUAUUUGAAGUUUCUAGAAAAUAAUUUUUGCGAUUUUUCGAUAUCAUUUACCUAGCAAUCGAAAUGAUUCAAAAUUAAUAAUUUUUAACCAGUACCCCUAUCAAAAUAACCUCCAAUUGCAAGUCACAACUAGAAAAAU